Molecule: long non-coding RNA, 356 nt
Organism: Coffea eugenioides
Lineage: Eukaryota; Viridiplantae; Streptophyta; Magnoliopsida; Gentianales; Rubiaceae
Exons: 2
Source: RefSeq, a predicted model, not a curated record
CAGACAGUAAAGAAGGCGGAUUUGUGAAGGGGGCGGCGACUUACAAUGAUCAUGGACGACUUGGAGGUGAAGCCCAUGUCUGCCAUUUCCAGCAUUGCUCUGCUUAACGAGCUUAAUGUCAAGGAUCUAAGCGCCCUCAAAGAAAAGGAAGUGGAUCUUAGCAUGAAUAAGGCGUUGAAGCUGCUUAAGGCAUCUUUGGAGACCAAGACAGUGCUUACCAGUGUCUUGUUGGAUGUCAAAUCUAAAACUCCAUGAGAAUUGUCUAGUUUUUCACUUUUGGAUAACAAUUUUAUGUUGGAAUCAGUGACUAUUUUGAUCCUUUUUUGCUUAAUUAAGGUACCAAUUCUAAAUGAUUA